UACGAAGGGGGCGAGCGUUGUUCGGAAUUACUGGGCGUAAAGGGCGCGCAGGCGGCCUUAGAAGUCAGAUGUGAGAGCCCCGGGCUCAACCUGGGAAUGGCAUUUGAUACUCUGAGGCUGGAGUACGGGAGAGGAGAGUGGAAUUCCCAGUGUAGAGGUGAAAUUCGUAGAUAUUGGGAAGAACACCGGUGGCGAAGGCAGCUCGCUGGGACGUGACUGACGCUGAGACGCGAAAGCGUGGGGAGCAAACAGG
This 253-nucleotide ribosomal RNA is filed under the name uncultured bacterium. RNAcentral's name for it is "partial 16S ribosomal RNA". It matches the Rfam family "Bacterial small subunit ribosomal RNA", at positions 524 to 776 of the family's 1533-position model. The record is from RNAcentral.